This 250-nucleotide ribosomal RNA is filed under the name uncultured bacterium. Its description in RNAcentral is "partial 16S ribosomal RNA". It matches the Rfam family "Bacterial small subunit ribosomal RNA", at positions 524 to 773 of the family's 1533-position model. The record is from RNAcentral.
UACAGAGGGGGCAAGCGUUAUUCGGAAUUAUUGGGCGUAAAGGGCGCGUAGGCGGCCGAGCAAGUCUUGGGUGAAAUCCCUCGGCUCAACCGAGGAACUGCCUUGGAAACUGCUUGGCUUGAGGCCGGGAGAGGGUGGUGGAAUUCCCAGUGUAGCGGUGAAAUGCGUAGAUAUUGGGAGGAACACCAGUGGCGAAGGCGGCCACCUGGACCGGUCCUGACGCUGAGGCGCGAAAGCGUGGGGAGCAAAC